ACCCCGAUCAACGGACAAAAGCUACGCUAGGGAUAACAGCUUGAGACGCCCUAAGAGUCCAUAUCGACGGGCGAUUCCAAGACCUCGAUGUUGGAUCAUCGCGUCCUACGGCUGCAGGAGGUCGUAAGGGUUGGACUGUUCGUCCACUAAAGCGGUACGUGAUCUGAGUUCAGAACGUCAAAUGGCGUUUAUUCGGCUUUAUCGGCGAAACCGUCGGGGCUUUAACUGGGCCCCACGGCAAUGCCGAGGGAUUAAAUCAACUUAAGUUAAUUUUUUCCGUAGAGACUUCGGAACGGCUCCGCUGUUCCGAGAUAGCUUAUUCAUCAUUUGCUAUAAUACACCGACACUACUUAAUAGUAGUGAAGACAUAGUCCAAACCAGUUGGAAACAACUGGGUUUUUGCGUGAGACAGUUCGGUUUCUAUCUGUGUCAGCGUAAGGUUUAUAGCUGUUUAAAACAACUUUGCCGAUGCAAAAUAACCGCUGGGGGCGAGUACGAAAGGACCAGACUCCUGUGAACCUAUGGUGCACUAGUUGUCCGUAAAAGGGCAUAGCUAGAAAGCUAAGUUCAAUAAGGUUAAAUUGCUUUGAUUCAAUAACAACGAAUGACCC
Molecule: ribosomal RNA, 611 nt
Filed under: Tetrabaena socialis
Lineage: Eukaryota; Viridiplantae; Chlorophyta; Chlorophyceae; Chlamydomonadales; Tetrabaenaceae
Description: large subunit ribosomal RNA
Rfam family: Bacterial large subunit ribosomal RNA
Source: RNAcentral